GGGAGCGUAACUCAACUGGAUAGAGUGUCGAGCUUCUACCUCGAAUGUUGUGGGUUCAAGUCCUACCGAUCCUGC
This 75-nucleotide transfer RNA is filed under the name Microcoleus asticus IPMA8. Its description in RNAcentral is "tRNA-Arg". It matches the Rfam family "tRNA". Rfam says of the family: Transfer RNA (tRNA) molecules are approximately 80 nucleotides in length. Their secondary structure includes four short double-helical elements and three loops (D, anti-codon, and T loops). Lineage: Bacteria; Bacillati; Cyanobacteriota; Cyanophyceae; Oscillatoriales; Microcoleaceae. The record is from RNAcentral.